GACGAACGCUGGCGGUGUGCUUAACACAUGCAAGUCGAACGGAAAGGCCCUGCUUUUGUGGGGUGCUCGAGUGGCGAACGGGUGAGUAACACGUGAGUAACCUGCCCUUGACUUUGGGAUAACUUCAGGAAACUGGGGCUAAUACCGGAUAGGAGCUCCUGCUGCAUGGUGGGGGUUGGAAAGUUUCGGCGGGUGGGGAUGGACGCGCGGCUUAUCAGCUUGUUGGUGGGGUAGUGGCUUACCAAGGCUUUGACGGGUAGCCGGCCUGAGAGGGUGACCGGCCACAUUGGGACUGAGAUACGGCCCAGACUCCUACGGGAGGCAGCAGUGGGGAAUAUUGCACAAUGGGCGGAAGCCUGAUGCAGCAACGCCGCGUGCGGGAUGACGGCCUUCGGGUUGUAAACCGCUUUCGCCUGUGACGAAGCGUGAGUGACGGUAAUGGGUAAAGAAGCACCGGCUAACUACGUG
Molecule: ribosomal RNA, 468 nt
Filed under: uncultured bacterium
Lineage: Bacteria
Description: partial 16S ribosomal RNA
Rfam family: Bacterial small subunit ribosomal RNA
Source: RNAcentral